Capsicum annuum is the source of this 112-nucleotide small nucleolar RNA. Lineage: Eukaryota; Viridiplantae; Streptophyta; Magnoliopsida; Solanales; Solanaceae. The record is from RefSeq and is a predicted model, not a curated record.
ACCUCAUGAUUUGGGCAUUGCGCUAGCUUUCCAUUAAACCUCUCCCACACUUCAAACAAUGGUUCUCCAUUCAAUUACUAAAAAUUUACAAUCUCAUCCCACUUUUGAAGAU